RNAcentral lists this unclassified non-coding RNA (231 nucleotides) under uncultured fungus. RNAcentral describes it as "sequence contains ITS1, 5.8S rRNA gene". The stretch from base 183 to 231 matches the Rfam family "5.8S ribosomal RNA", at positions 1 to 49 of the family's 154-position model. The record is from RNAcentral. Lineage: Eukaryota; Fungi.
UCUCCGUAGGUGAGCCUGCGGAGGGAUCAUUACUGAGCGAGGGUUUAACCGCCCGACCUCCAACCCUUUGUGAACACAUCUUGUUGCUUCGGGGGCGACCCUGCCGGCACUCUGUCGCCGGGCGCCCCCGAAGGCCUCCAAACACUGCAUCUUUGCGUCGGAGUUUAAAACAAAUGAAACAAAACUUUCAACAACGGAUCUCUUGGUUCUGGCAUCGAUGAAGAACGCAGC